RNAcentral lists this long non-coding RNA (623 nucleotides) under Notechis scutatus (mainland tiger snake). RNAcentral's name for it is "lncRNA (ENSNSUG00000020230.1)". Lineage: Eukaryota; Metazoa; Chordata; Lepidosauria; Squamata; Elapidae. The record is from RNAcentral.
CCAUUCCUGGUUCUUUCUUAGUUCCACCUGCAGACCAAGAUAAAGCCGGCUGUCGUAUAGUAAGGAAACCCAGCAGUGAUUCUUCUGAAGGUUCAAGCUCCGUGUCCAGCCAUGUCCCUGGAAUAAUGCAGCCCCAUAAAGAAACUCCCGAGAGCCCAGUGUCUGCCUGCCUCCUCCUGGAGAGGACACCGCCAGUGAAGAACCCUCAUCCUUGGCCAUUGGAGGAGGUUGAGCCUGUCUCUUCUACGCAGGAGGACAUGUUUGGCCAGAAUAGCUCAACAGCUCCAGGCAGACUGGAAGAGGCCAGUUCCCCAUCAUCCACUCCAGCUGAUCCUCUGCGCGUCCUUCAGCUCUCUGGACAAGGGCCUCUCUCCAAUUGUGCUUCAGGUCUUGCUAGAACAACUUCUGAUGUCUUACAACCAGUGCCUUUUAUUCUUCCCAGAAGCCCAACUGAACAGGAGGCAGGAGGAAAGCAGGAAAGCCCACCGUUGGAGACUGCAGGCACCCUUCAGGGCUCUGUUCCAGUUUCUCAAGAUGCUUUUGUGCUGCCAUCCCAGCCCGAGUUCUCUCACGUGAGUGACUGCCUGAGCUGCUGCUGCUGCUGUGAAUGCAGGUAGCAGCCA